RNAcentral lists this ribosomal RNA (437 nucleotides) under uncultured bacterium. Its description in RNAcentral is "bacterial SSU rRNA". It matches the Rfam family "Bacterial small subunit ribosomal RNA", at positions 958 to 1397 of the family's 1533-position model. The record is from RNAcentral.
AACGCGAAGAACCUUACCUAGACUUGACAUCUCCUGAAUUACUCUUAAUCGAGGAAGUCACUUCGGUGACAGGAAGACAGGUGGUGCAUGGUUGUCGUCAGCUCGUGUCGUGAGAUGUUGGGUUAAGUCCCGCAACGAGCGCAACCCCUAUUGUUAGUUGCUACCAUUUAGUUGAGCACUCUAGCGAGACUGCCCGGGUUAACCGGGAGGAAGGUGGGGAUGAUGUCAAAUCAUCAUGCCCCUUAUGUCUAGGGCUACACACGUGCUACAAUGGCUGGUACAGAGAGAUGCGAUACCGUGAGGUGGAGCCAAACUUUAAAACCAGUCUCAGUUCGGAUUGUAGGCUGAAACUCGCCUACAUGAAGCUGGAGUUGCUAGUAAUCGCGAAUCAGAAUGUCGCGGUGAAUACGUUCCCGGGCCUUGUACACACCGCCCGU